AUGGCGACCGGCGCACGGGUGAGUAGCGCGUAUGCAACCUGCCCGAUACCGGGGUAUAGCCCAUGGAAACGUGGAUUAACACCCCAUAGUACUUUUAUCCUGCCUGGGAUGGGAGUUAAAUGUUCAAGGUAUCGGAUGGGCAUGCGUCCUAUUAGUUAGUUGGCGGGGUAACAGCCCACCAAGACGAUGAUAGGUAGGGGUUCUGAGAGGAAGGUCCCCCACAUUGGAACUGAGACACGGUCCAA
This 245-nucleotide ribosomal RNA is filed under the name uncultured bacterium. RNAcentral describes it as "partial 16S ribosomal RNA". It matches the Rfam family "Bacterial small subunit ribosomal RNA", at positions 88 to 334 of the family's 1533-position model. The record is from RNAcentral.